Molecule: ribosomal RNA, 611 nt
Filed under: uncultured bacterium
Lineage: Bacteria
Description: bacterial SSU rRNA
Rfam family: Bacterial small subunit ribosomal RNA
Source: RNAcentral
CCAGACUCCUACGGGAGGCAGCAGUAGGGAAUCUUCCACAAUGGGCGCAAGCCUGAUGGAGCAACACCGCGUGAGUGAAGAAGGGUUUCGGCUCGUAAAGCUCUGUUGUUAAAGAAGAACACGUAUGAGAGUAACUGUUCAUACGUUGACGGUAUUUAACCAGAAAGUCACGGCUAACUACGUGCCAGCAGCCGCGGUAAUACGUAGGUGGCAAGCGUUAUCCGGAUUUAUUGGGCGUAAAGAGAGUGCAGGCGGUUUUCUAAGUCUGAUGUGAAAGCCUUCGGCUUAACCGGAGAAGUGCAUCGGAAACUGGAUAACUUGAGUGCAGAAGAGGGUAGUGGAACUCCAUGUGUAGCGGUGGAAUGCGUAGAUAUAUGGAAGAACACCAGUGGCGAAGGCGGCUACCUGGUCUGCAACUGACGCUGAGACUCGAAAGCAUGGGUAGCGAACAGGAUUAGAUACCCUGGUAGUCCAUGCCGUAAACGAUGAGUGCUAGGUGUUGGAGGGUUUCCGCCCUUCAGUGCCGGAGCUAACGCAUUAAGCACUCCGCCUGGGGAGUACGACCGCAAGGUUGAAAAUCAAAGGAAUUGACGGGGGCCCGCACAAGAAGG